GGGCCGGGGCGGGCCGGGGCGGGGCCUCCGCAGCGGCUCCCGCAGGGCUGCGGGCUCCUGGCCGCGGAGGCCGCAGAGGGUUAUCGCGGCGUGGUCUCCGCGGGGCCCCCGGACGAUCGCGCCGUCAGACCCAGGGGUCGGCGAGCGGCCGCGGUGAGUCCCGGGAGCAGCGGAGGUUCAGCGUGCUGAAGGUCACAGGCUGCAGUGCCUCCAGUACAGCAGGAGCUCUGGGAGGGGAGGGGGUUGUCAGACACCCCGCCCCCGCCCCUGGGCCCUGCCCCAGCCGGAGUUGAAUCCAGGACCAACGGCUCUUCACCUCACCACGCCCACUCUCAGCUCCAGCCAUGGGGCCCCUGCUAACCCUGUUCCUGGUGGCCCUGGUGGGCCUCCCGCUGGCCCAGGCUCUGGACUGCCACGUGUGCGCCUACAACGGAGAGAACUGCUUCAACCCCGUCCACUGCCCGGCCAUGGUCACCUACUGCAUGACCACGCGCACUUACUACACCCCGACCAGGAUGAAGGUGAGCAAGUCCUGCGUGCCCAGCUGCUUCGAGACCGUGUACGAUGGUUACUCCAAGCACGCCUCUACCACCUCCUGCUGCCAGUACGACCUCUGUAACGGCGCUGGCCUCGCCAUCCCCGGAACCCUGGCCCUGGCCCCCAUACUCCUGGCUACCCUCUGGGGUCUGCUCUGAAGCCCUGCCCCCACCAGGACCCACGCAAGGACAAGUUCUGAGAAGCCCAGCCCUACCCUUUCACCCUUUCACCCUGCCCCCACCUUCUGUGCUCCCAGAGACCACCCCCCGCAACCGCUCCAGCCACCAUCCAGAACUGCCUACUGGAGGGACUCGAGUGUCCACCACCAUCCUGGGCCUCGCUCCCAGACCACCACCUUCCAUUUUCCAAAGGUUGACGUGGGACCUUCCAAAAGUGUCUGGUCUUGGUGGGAGAGCUCGCCCCUCCUCUACAUGAGGAUGAGGGCAUCUGGAGAAGUGUGCCGCUUAGUUGGGGUCCUCAGUUGGCUGAGGAACACUGAUGGGAAGGGAGACUUGGCCCACCCUCCUGGCAGCUCUGGGGGUCUGCCCCAGUCUGCCUAGUCUGCCUAGUAAGUGUGUGGAGGCGCUGGGGAAAGCAGGGACCCAGGGUGGGUGGGGGGCAGUCUUGGGAAGAAGGGCUUUCUGGGGCCCCAGGAGGUCUGUCCCUGUGCAUCUGACAGACCAGGAGCUGCCCAGGGUAGGCGUGGCAUAGAGGGCCACGCUUCGUCCCUGUCAGCCAUCCAGGUGGGAGUGCCAGGAAGGCCUGGGUGAGGGGUGGGGGUGGCUCAUCCUAAAGAGCCCCUGAGGCCCCCAGCCCCAGGAGCCUGGCAAGAGGCUCUUCCCUUCUUGCUCUGCCCAAUCCCUGACCUUCCCCCCUCUGCACCCUGCCUGAGGCUGGCAGGCACUUGGGGGCAGGGCAGGCAGGCCAGAUGGCUAUAUUUGGUGGAGCAUGAGAGCUGACCCCAGGGCUAUUUUUGGCAGGGAGAGAAGGGAGCUGGGUGGGACCAGAACAGCCUGAUCUUCAGCCCUGGCCUGGCCCUUAGUGGAGGGGAGUGAGCCACAGCAGGUGCCUGAGAGUGUGAGCACCCGAAUCAGCGGGGGAGGGUGGAGGGCGGAGGAUGGAGGGCGGAGGUCGGGGUGGGGGGGUGCGGGGAGGAUCCUGGGAGGAAGGAGAGGAGUCGGAGAGAUGCUGGGAGAGGCCGACUCUGGGAUGCAAUGCAGAUGACCAGGCUCCCUCUGGACACGCACCCCAGGAUUUCCUCUGCAACCCCCAUCCCAAUAAGCACUGCCCACAGCGGCUUCCGGCUGGCCUCCCUCCGCUCUGGCCUGCAGGCCCCGCUCAGUGAGUGCUGGCUGAACUGGCCUGGGCCCCAAAGCCUGAGCCCAUCAGCCUGCGGGUCUCCAGGGAACCCUCUACCCUCCAACUGUGCUUGAGGAGAGAGAGAGGCCCACCGGGGCUGGAGAGCUUCCUCUCUGAUCCGAGGAGUGGUCUGCAAGUGUCCCCAACCUAGUGGGGUAUUGGGACCUUCAAAGGCCCAAGAAUUGGCAUUAUUUAAAGGGUAUAAGCCUAGGUGAACCCCACCCCUGGCCUGGUUUCAGAGAUAAGAGUCUGCCCAGCACAGACCAUGCUGGAUCAGGGUGGCCCAGGAAACGCCGGUCCUCCUCCCACUGAGGCCAGACUGCAUGCCACAUGGUGCCCCAGGUCACACAGGGCCUGCCUGAGGCCUUAGCUGCCCAGUGUCCCCAGCCCGAGGGUCCGGGGAGGGGCCCAGGAGCACCUUCAGGCUGUCUGGACCUAAGUGGGCAGGAUUGUGGCAAAUGCCUGUGUGGUGGCAUCGUCCCUGGAAUGCAGAGGCUCUUGGCCCCCAAGCGUGGCCUCGUCAAGGGAGACUGUGCUGGAGAUCCCGCCUUGAGAGCUUCACCCAGUGCUUCCAGAACCCAAGGGAUUAGGAUAUCGUGGGAGAGCCUGGGGGAGCCUCAGCAGGUGACCUCGGGCAGACCUGGUUGGACCUCCCAGAAGGUCGGGGAAGAUGAGUUUCUCAUCCUGGGCGGGAAAGGAGCUGCACCCCACAGAGUGUCCGGUCAAGGGCUCAGUCCCCACAGGACACCUGGGUGCCUCCUCCUGAGGCCCGAUCCGGUAUGAGCCCUUCCCUGGGGGAGGCGGGCAGCAAGCCAGACUCCAACUCUGAGCUCCCACAGGUCCUGCGGGACACCCCCCAGGAAGGGUUGGUCUCAGGAAGACCAAGCUCCCCACAAGGCUGCCUGGAGGGCCAGCGCAGGCCUCUACCUGCGGAUGCCGGCUGGAAGAAAGGGUAGACAGAGUCCUCCAGCCCUAGCCGCCCUUGACCUGACUCAGUGGGAGAGGCUUGGAAUCGGUUGUUAAAGUGCUUGUGUAAGACCUUUGUCCUGGGUCAGCAGGCAUCCUAGGCCACGGCCGGGAGGAGCACAGGAUCGGUCCUCCCUCCCCUCAGUGGCUGAUGACGUUAGAGCCCUGCCUGGGCACCCGUGGGCUCUGGGGUCACUGAGAGCAGGGAUCCAGGGAGCUGGGCUUGCCGCCGUAUGGGGUUGCUUCUUACACCUGCCUUCUGUGCCCCUCUGUCCACUGUGACCUGGUCCAAGCCCAACACCCACCGCAUUGCACCAGGCCCGCAGGACCGUGCCGUCCACCCCACCGCCACAGGCCGGGCUCUGGCUGGCUGGGCUGUCCUCAGAACCCAGCCCGGAGCCCUCAGGAGGUCCUCGACCAAUACGGGGGCCCCGGCCCCUGGUGGGACGCAUGUGACGCUGACCUGGAAGGGCAGUGCCGGUGGGGACAAGCACAGCGACCAUGGGAACUGACUGUCCGGCUGCCCUGUGCUGUGGCUGUAAGCACUCCACGACCACCCUGCGAGGUAGAAGGCAUUACAGGUGAGGAGGCUGAGGCACGGGGCGCUGGCGUGGCUGCCCGACACCCCCCACCCUGCCCCCGCUGUGCAGUCUUCUCCCAUCUGCUGGGAGGCUGCGUCCCAGAGCCUGGGACAGGGAAGGGAGCAGGUUAUAAACUUAGAACUAUUUUGGCCUGUGAGAUAAUGAUAAGAGCUGAGGGUCAGGAAAGCUCUAGAAGGGGAAAAGUAGAAGCAGAGAUUUGAGACACCGUGAGGCCCAGAGGCAGGCGUCCAGCCCCGCGUCUGCGUCCCGCAAGCUGGGGUUGCAGAGGGGGGGCACAGGGGCACCAGGCCCGUGUCUCCAGCUGCCAGCGAGACAGUGGGCAUUUCCACUGUGGGGGUCCCCCCAACAGAAAUGAGUGUCCCGUCCAUGUGAAUCGAUGCUCGGGCUCUUUAAAGCUCUCCGUGGCGUCCAAAUCUCGAGUCUGGAAGCAGCCUGGGUGUCUCUGCUGUGCUGCUUCCUGUGGGCACCCUGGGAGCACAGCUGGGGAGCGGGGGCAGCAGGCGCCCACCCUGGGGACACAGGGUGGGCAUCUGCAGCCAAAGGCACCCUCCAGACCUGUGUGCGGCCUGGCCCCGCUGCAUACAGAAGGCAUCAGGAAGGUGCGCUGGUGGUGGGCGGGCGGGGAGGGGGGGUCGACCAACCGCCCCAUCUCCCUCCGCAGCUGCUGACUUGUUUGAUAAACAUGUAACUCAUUCAUGCUUCUAGACCUCUUGAGUUCUGUUGGGUCCUACAGCUCUGGGCUGGCUCAUUCAUAAAAUGGGCAUGAUGCCCACCAAGCCGAGGCCUCGGGGGGAUGGACGAAGCUGGGGGUGUAAGUGCCCAGCCCAGGGCCCAGCACACAGGAGGCCUCAGAUCCAUGGGUGGUCCCUCCUCCCUUCCUGCCACUGCGAGCUCUGGACACUUCCAGGGCCAUGCCCCUGCAGGCAGCUAAUGCCAACCCCUGACCCUGACCCUGACCCUGACCCGCAUGAGACUCCGCCUUUGGGCCUGGGCCUCCUUCUCUGUUCACACUAUGCACUUCAGUAUCUCCAGUGUGAAUAAACAGAUGAGGACACA
RNAcentral lists this long non-coding RNA (4520 nucleotides) under Canis lupus familiaris (dog). Its description in RNAcentral is "lncRNA (ENSCAFG00845014311.1)". Lineage: Eukaryota; Metazoa; Chordata; Mammalia; Carnivora; Canidae. The record is from RNAcentral.